Molecule: transfer RNA, 76 nt
Filed under: Parvibaculum sp.
Lineage: Bacteria; Pseudomonadati; Pseudomonadota; Alphaproteobacteria; Hyphomicrobiales; Parvibaculaceae
Also listed under: 2 other names
Description: tRNA-Lys
Rfam family: tRNA
About the family: Transfer RNA (tRNA) molecules are approximately 80 nucleotides in length. Their secondary structure includes four short double-helical elements and three loops (D, anti-codon, and T loops).
Source: RNAcentral
GGGCGCAUAGCUCAGUUGGUAGAGCAGCUGACUCUUAAUCAGCGGGUCCGUGGUUCGAGCCCACGUGCGCCCACCA